Molecule: transfer RNA, 72 nt
Filed under: Pangasius djambal
Lineage: Eukaryota; Metazoa; Chordata; Actinopteri; Siluriformes; Pangasiidae
Description: tRNA-Glu
Source: RNAcentral
UCCCUGGAGGACUAGUGGUUAGGCCUCAGCUCUCUCACCGCCGUGGCCUGCAUUCGAUUCCCAGCCAGAGAA